UUGUAUGAAUGAUCUUUUGACCUACGAUGGUACGGUUGCUCGCAAUAUGAUUGCUGCAGUUUAACUGAUACAUAAAUAUGAUCUCGAUGAGUCCUUAUAGAGGAUGUUGGUGAUAGUUGGUCCAUUAUAGAAGUAGGGUGCACAUCUAGAUGAAAUUUAUCGAUCUUGAUAAAAAAGAUAGUUCUAUGAGAUUUGAGAGGCUAAGUUCGAAAGUCUAUAGCCACAGCAGUAUGAUUAAUAAAAAAAAAUUCAUGAGGAUCACAAUUGAAUUUAAGCUAAUCAAAUCUAUCAUAUGAUUAAUGACG
This 305-nucleotide long non-coding RNA is filed under the name Elaeis guineensis (African oil palm). RNAcentral describes it as "long non-coding RNA (EGUI_LNC033577)". The record is from RNAcentral. Lineage: Eukaryota; Viridiplantae; Streptophyta; Magnoliopsida; Arecales; Arecaceae.